CCUACGGGAGGCAGCAGUGAGGAAUAUUGGGCAAUGGAGGAAACUCUGACCCAGCCAUGCCGCGUGAAUGAAGAAGGUUUUCGGAUUGUAAAGCUCUUUCGGUUGUGAAGUUGAUGACGGUAACAUCUAAAGAAGCUCCGGCAAACUUCGUGCCAGCAGCCGCGGUAAUACGAAGGGGGCAAGCGUUGUCCGGAAUUACUGGGCGUAAAGGGUGUGUAGGCGGGAAAGUAAGAUAGUGGUGAAAUGCCUGAGCUCAACGUGGGAACUGCAAUUAUAACUAUUUGUCUAGAGUGACAGUGAGGAUAUUGGAAUACGUGGUGUAGCGGUGAAAUGCGUAGAUAUCGGGUAGAACACCGAAGGCGAAGGCGAGUAUCUGACUGGCAACUGACGCUGAGGCACGAAAGCAUGGGGAUCAAACAGGAUUAGAUACCCUUGUAGUC
Molecule: ribosomal RNA, 440 nt
Filed under: uncultured bacterium
Lineage: Bacteria
Description: partial 16S ribosomal RNA
Rfam family: Bacterial small subunit ribosomal RNA
Source: RNAcentral